GGUUUUCAUAAAUGAUUAUAGGGUCGCAGUAGGUUAUGGAUGUGUGCCGCCUUUCGCUUUAUGUGUACUUUACUAAAUGUGUCCUUGGGCACGACAAGCACCACAUGCAUCUGUAUAACUGGUUGCCUAAAUGCUUCAUGAUUAAAUAUCGAAAACGCAUGCGUCAAUACACAUGUGACUAACAUAACAAGGCGAUACUGGCGAUAACAAGUGAAAUUUUUGGUUGGCUGUUGAUAUACACACGCACAAAUUCCAAUAACUAAAUCAUCCACGGAAAAAGAAGUUCCACGUUUAGGAGUAUAUUUGUAAUGAAGUGCAGGAGGCGAAGCGCCCGUGUGUCCUUUCAAAAAGUUAGCACGCGUUGGUGACCAUAAAAAGUUAGGUUAUGUUAACAACGGCAGCAAUGCUGCAAUUAAAGAAUGCACGAAUGCGAAAUUUAACAAAUUUUUGUGGCAAAAGGAAGCAUUUGCAUAACAUUUGAAGAUGAGGAACGUGAUCAAAAGAUGCUGUAGAAGAGCUUUGCACAAACAGUUUGUGCGAAAUCGAGAAGCGCGUGUUCUGCGCGAUGUUACGGAGUUAGAUAAGCGCAAAUGUAGUUCAUUUUCAAACUGUUUUUCAGAAGUUGAAGGCGCAUUGAUGACCAGUGGGACCAAGGGCCUUUGGUGGUUAAAUAUGCCUUUAUAUACAUGGACACCAGAUGCAUGUGCUUAGAAAGAUGAUUUUUGAUUAAGAACUCAGAGCAAGAGUAUCUUUAAUGGUGUAUACAAAUUUGACAAACAACGCAUUUUAAUGUCUGAUAACUACAUUUCCUAUCCAUCAGUUCUACUUCAUGAAAGUUAGUUUUGGUUUGUGAGUGCAUUAAAUGUUUUACAGCAGAUUCUUUAGCUACAUUAUCAAAACUUAUCUGGGUGGCAAGUUUAUGGGACUUACUGACCAAAAGGUCAUGGUGAAUAGCUGUAAGUCAUAAAGUAGAUGAAAUUCUUGACCAAGAUGUAUCCUUCAGUAGUUUCUUCAAAGUGUCUAAAUAUGUUUCCAGCCCUCUAUUGGUUUACCACCAAAAUAUUUGUAUUUCAAAGAUCUGUGCAAAGAUUUGGCGUGCAUGUUGGUGUUAAUGCCUGCGUUCUUUUGAUAACACUGGGCCCAUGACUUCAUGCGCUCUUUAUUUUGAAAGUAGCAUUCCAAUAUGUAGCUGUAACUAUCAUCUGUGAUGAAAUAAUUGGGUACCAAAACCGA
This is a long non-coding RNA of Zophobas morio, 1233 nucleotides long. RefSeq lists it as uncharacterized. NCBI's taxonomy places the organism in Eukaryota, Metazoa, Arthropoda, Insecta, Coleoptera, Tenebrionidae. The record is from RefSeq and is a predicted model, not a curated record. The transcript has 2 exons.